RNAcentral lists this ribosomal RNA (370 nucleotides) under uncultured bacterium. RNAcentral's name for it is "bacterial SSU rRNA". It matches the Rfam family "Bacterial small subunit ribosomal RNA", at positions 519 to 868 of the family's 1533-position model. The record is from RNAcentral.
GGUAAUAGUACGGUCCCGAGCGUUUGCCGGUAUUUAGUUGGGACGUAAAGCGAGCGCAGGCGGUUUGAUAAGUUCNGAAGUUAAAGGCUGUGGCUCAACCAUUAGUCGUCGUUUAGGAAACUGUACUAAACUUGAGUGCAAGGAAGGGGAGAGUAGGUAACUUCCAUGUGUAGCGGUAGAAAUGCGUAGAUAUAUGGAGGAACACCGGUGGACGAAAGCGGCUCUCGUGGUCUAGUAACUGACGCUGGAGGCUACGAAGCGGUGGGGAGCGAACAGGAUUAGAUACCCUGGUAGUCCACGCCGUAAACGAUGAGUGCUAGGUGUUGGAUCCUUUCCGGGAUUCAGUGCCGCAGCUAACGCAUUAAGCACU